Molecule: long non-coding RNA, 246 nt
Filed under: Manihot esculenta (cassava)
Lineage: Eukaryota; Viridiplantae; Streptophyta; Magnoliopsida; Malpighiales; Euphorbiaceae
Description: long non-coding RNA (MESC_LNC000236)
Source: RNAcentral
AUCUUCAUCCAUACAAAAUCCCUUCCUAAGUGAAAUAACCAGCAAAGAAACCAUAGAGAAGGAGGAAAGAAGGAGAGAAGUUUAAGUGCUUAAGUGGUAAGUGAUAGAAAUUGAAAAUUAGGUUAGGCAAACAUAUUCUUUAAUGUUUUCAAUCAAUUAUAUGUUGUUAAAUGAAUUAAAACUCAUGUUUUUCUUAUUCUUUAUAAAGAACAAAUUCAAAAGGAGGAAGGUACAUCAAAAGGAAAA